Molecule: long non-coding RNA, 1203 nt
Organism: Bubalus bubalis (water buffalo)
Lineage: Eukaryota; Metazoa; Chordata; Mammalia; Artiodactyla; Bovidae
Exons: 2
Source: RefSeq, a predicted model, not a curated record
CUGAAACGGAGCCAUGUUUUGCUGCUUUUGAGCAGCCCUGGGAAGCCGGCCUGGAAAAGAUGCUCACAGGUGAUGGGAAGACCCCUGGCUUGUGUUGAAGAGCGAGCCGGAGUUGCCGUGGUGUGGGUGCAGGGCGCUCCAUGUCAGCCACCACCAUCCAGGGGGCUGAUCAUCCUGCCCUUGUAUUGGUGUUUUGUCGAGGCUUUCCUAAGAAGCCUUUCUAGCUCCUGGGUGUCUGAGGAUAAAGUGUGGGUUUCUUAGUUUGGAGAGGCUGGGGGAGAGGUGGAUGGCUGAGUGCUCCAGUGACUUUUUCCUUAUUCUCCACCAUUGUCCUGGGUUGGUUCAUUCUCUGCGUUAGCGUCUCAAGCUGGAAAAUUCUCUUGACGUGCUUAUUACGCUUAGUUUUGACUUCCUGCAGGUAGAAGGGGAGCUCUGUGGGGGCCUGGCCCCUUUGGUUCUUAUUUAUCCUUAUAUUCUGUUCCUCCACAGUGCCUCAGACUGAUGAUGCCAUAACCUGUGACCGACUGCCCACACCUCUGUUCAUUAAUGUGCUUCUUGCCCAUGAGGAAAGCUGGGUGAUGUGAAGAGUGGAACUUCAAUGUUGGCCCAAAAUGUUCGUGUGCCCCUUUCAACUUCAGUGUGGACUCUUGAUCAAAGUCGUUUCUGUGGCUCUGACGCGAUGGCAGGAAUUCUCUAACAGCUGUUUGCUAUUUUCUCCCUGAAAAUCUCUCAGUAGACACUAAGUAAAGAAAAGGAAUGAACUGUAAUCGAGAAUGUCUGUAUCUGGGGGUAAAAUGGGCCGAUAUUCUGGGAAGAUGUAGGGAGUUGGAGAGGCUGCUUUCCCCUGCUCUUUUAAGUGGAGAUAAUAAACUGUCCUAAUUAUAAGAAACAGUGGUUAAAGGGGAAAAUGGGGACCUGGGCUAGAAGUGUGUCCUGGCUUCGUGGCUUACUGGCUGGGGGCCUGUGGGCGAGCAGAUAACCAUUCUCAACCUGUUUCCUUGUUUCUGAAUCUGGAGAACACACACUUCGUGGGGCUGAGGUGAAGCUCAGGUGAAAUACCUUCGAGAAAAUACCUUGCAGAGUCCUAGAUGGAGAUUAGAUUACGCUAAAAGCUAGUUGUUUUUCUUCCUUUCACGCUCAACUUUACUUUUCUUGUUUAUUAGCAGGGUUGAGACUGUGCUUUUAUUGUAGGGAUUUUGGGUA